GAGCCAUUAGCUCAGUUGGCAGAGCACCUGACUUUUAAUCAGGGUGUCCGGGGUUCGAAUCCCCGAUGGCUCACCA
This 76-nucleotide transfer RNA is filed under the name Clostridiales bacterium. RNAcentral's name for it is "tRNA-Lys". It matches the Rfam family "tRNA". Rfam says of the family: Transfer RNA (tRNA) molecules are approximately 80 nucleotides in length. Their secondary structure includes four short double-helical elements and three loops (D, anti-codon, and T loops). The record is from RNAcentral. RNAcentral also lists the same sequence under 12 other names. Lineage: Bacteria; Bacillati; Bacillota; Clostridia; Eubacteriales.